This is a non-coding RNA of Heterocephalus glaber (naked mole-rat), 72 nucleotides long. NCBI's taxonomy places the organism in Eukaryota, Metazoa, Chordata, Mammalia, Rodentia, Bathyergidae. The record is from Rfam.
GGGGAUGUAGCUCAGUGGCAGAGUGCUUACCUAGCAUGCAUGAGGCUCUGGGUUCCAUCCCUAGCGUUGCCA